UGCCAGCAGCCGCGGUAAUACCAGCUCCACUAGCUUAUACAAUCAUUGUUGCGGUUAAGAGGCUCGUAGUUGGAUUGAAUAAAACAUAUAUACACAAUACUGUGAACAAACCAGAGUGUAUAAAACAUGUAAUAUAUUAUAUAUUUAGCAAUGAAUGUUUUAUCAUGGAAUAUUGCUAUAAUGAAUAUUAAUAUCGAUGGAGAUAGUUGGAGUUAAGAGUACUGAUAGGCGAGCGGUGAAAUGCAUUGACCCUAUUAAGACUAACAAAAGCGAAAGCACUUAACUAGAUUAUUCUCUUUGUAUUAUUUUACAAUGAAGAGCGAAGGUUGGGGGAACAAAGAGGAUCAGAUACCCUCGUAGUCCUAUUUUUACAUCAAACUAUGGGAUUUCAUUCACACUAAACACUAAACAUUAUAAUUAUAAUUAUGAUUGAGUAUAUGUCAAAAUAUUACUCUCAUAUUAAAUAAUUAUUAUAUAUAUGAUUAUAUGUACUUUGAGCUCAUAUAAUUAUAUAGGUGAGAUGUAAGCAUUAUAAAGUGAAUAAUAUACAAGUAAUAUUGUAUUAUUAUGAUCUUUAAAAUAAAAAAUGUAAUGUGAUGCACGUUUUAGGUACGAGCUUACUAUAGAAAUAUUUAAAAUAAUACCCUCCUGGGGUAGUAUGCACGCAAGUGUGAAACUUGAAGGAAUUGACGGAAGGGCACCACAAGAACGCGUGGAGCAUGUGGCUUAAUUUGACUCAACCCGGGAAAUCUUACCAGGUCCAGACAUAUUGAGGAUUGACAGGCGAUAGUAUAUAAUUCAUUUAUAUGCAUAAAAAUGAUAGUCCUUUCAUGAUUAUAUGAUAGGUGGUGCAUGGCCGUUCUUAGUUCGUGGAGUGAUUUGUCUGCUUAAUUGCGUUUCAGUAAAUAAAAUAUAUAAUAUAUUAUAAUAUUUAGUUCUGCCUUGAAUAUUAUUCAAGGAUUUAAAGUGAACAUAUUAUAUAUAUUAUUAUAUAAUAAAUGAAUGCAACGAACGUGACCGA
This 1021-nucleotide ribosomal RNA is filed under the name Marginopora vertebralis. RNAcentral describes it as "SSU rRNA". It matches the Rfam family "Eukaryotic small subunit ribosomal RNA", at positions 565 to 1453 of the family's 1831-position model. Lineage: Eukaryota; Foraminifera; Miliolida; Soritidae. The record is from RNAcentral.